This 274-nucleotide ribosomal RNA is filed under the name uncultured bacterium. RNAcentral's name for it is "partial 16S ribosomal RNA". It matches the Rfam family "Bacterial small subunit ribosomal RNA", at positions 523 to 796 of the family's 1533-position model. The record is from RNAcentral.
AUACGUAGGAUCCGAGCGUUGUCCGGAUUUACUGGGCGUAAAGGGUGCGUAGGCGGCGUGGUAAGUCUCAUGUGAAAUCUCCCGGCUUAACUGGGAGGGGUCAUGGGAUACUGCCAUGCUCGAGGGCAGUAGAGGAGAGCGGAAUUCCGGGAGUAGCGGUGAUAUGCGUAGAUACCCGGAGGAACACCCGUGGCGAAAGCGGCUCUCUGGGGGCAACCUGACGCUGAGGCGCGAAAGCGUGGGGAGCGAACCGGAUUAGAAACCCGGGUAGUCC